UGUAGUAGGAGGAGAGAACGAUGGGAUUGGGGAACCAAGCAGAAACGGAGCUUCACAGAAAGUAAAUUAUAAACUCGAAAUUAAAGAAAACAGCUAUAACUAUAGUGAAGACUCGGUGCGCUACAACUCAGGAUGGCCUCUUAGCGCACUGCAAAUAAAGAAAGAAACAUUGUUAAGAAACAUGAUACUGUAAUGGAGAGAGAGGGUAAUGUAAUGAAGGGAAGAAGAAGCUUUACGUUGGAGUAGACAGAGAUUUGAAUUUCUUGAUUCCACCGUUGGGGCGAACGUCUUCAAUGCUGUAACCGAGGGGAGCUUCGUAAAAUAAGGAACUACUACUACUGCUGGACUUCUUUUUACCAUAUUUUGACUCCAUCACAAUCUCAUUCACGCUUUCUGCAAUUUCAAGACCAAACCAUAUGUAUUAGAUGCAGGAAAGAAAAACAACGCUUAAUAGAGACGUAUCAAUGUUCAAAGUUUUCACAUUUCAAUAACAGAUCU
Molecule: long non-coding RNA, 498 nt
Filed under: Brassica napus (rape)
Lineage: Eukaryota; Viridiplantae; Streptophyta; Magnoliopsida; Brassicales; Brassicaceae
Description: long non-coding RNA (BNAP_LNC013279)
Source: RNAcentral